AGCGGCGGAUGGGUGAGUAACACGUGGGGAACCUGCCCCUAAGUCUGGGAUACCAUUUGGAAACAGGUGCUAAUACCGGAUAAUAAAGCAGAUCGCAUGAUCAGCUUUUGAAAGGCGGCGUAAGCUGUCGCUAAGGGAUGGCCCCGCGGUGCAUUAGCUAGUUGGUAAGGUAACGGCUUACCAAAGCGACGAUGCAUAGCCGAGUUGAGAGACUGAUCGGCCACAUUGGGACUGAGACACGGCCCAAACUCCUACGGGAGGCAGCAGUAGGGAAUCUUCCACAAUGGACGCAAGUCUGAUGGAGCAACGCCGCGUGAGUGAAGAAGGUUUUCGGAUCGUAAAGCUCUGUUGUUGGUGAAGAAGGAUAGAGGUAGUAACUGGCCUUCAUUUGACGGUAAUCAACCAGAAAGUCACGGCUAACUACGUGCCAGCAGCCGCGGUAAUACGUAGGUGGCAAGCGUUGUCCGGAUUUAUUGGGCGUAAAGCGAGCGCAGGCGGAAAAAUAAGUCUAAUGUGAAAGCCCUCGGCUUAACCGAGGAACUGCAUCGGAAACUGUUUUUCUUGAGUGCAGAAGAGGAGAGUGGAACUCCAUGUGUAGCGGUGGAAUGCGUAGAUAUAUGGAAGAACACCAGUGGCGAAGGCGGCUCUCUGGUCUGCAACUGACGCUGAGGCUCGAAAGCAUGGGUAGCGAACAGGAUUAGAUACCCUGGUAGUCCAUGCCGUAAACGAUGAGUGCUAAGUGU
Molecule: ribosomal RNA, 743 nt
Filed under: uncultured bacterium
Lineage: Bacteria
Description: bacterial SSU rRNA
Rfam family: Bacterial small subunit ribosomal RNA
Source: RNAcentral